Molecule: long non-coding RNA, 589 nt
Organism: Daphnia pulex (common water flea)
Lineage: Eukaryota; Metazoa; Arthropoda; Branchiopoda; Diplostraca; Daphniidae
Exons: 3
Source: RefSeq, a predicted model, not a curated record
UUUCGAGCCCCCGUCAUUUGUUUCAGUGAGCGGUUCUUACAUCAACGCGGUUGCGGACCAUUCCGCCCCGGUUGUUGGCUGUAACGUUUGUAGUUAAUGUUACCCAACAGCUGCAGUUUUUCGUCCAUGGCGGAAAUGAUGGCGUCCAGUUGCCAUCCUCUUCGUCAAGUAUAACAAUUUCAGAAAACGCAUCGUCAAGGAGAGAGAGACCCCCUUAAUUUUGCUCAAAUGUUCGGUGGGGAAGAAACGGCGAAUUCAACAAUCGAAUCGCUCGCAGGAGGACUUCAUGAUUUCCGCGAUUGACGAGAAACUGCAGCUGUUGGGUAACAUUAAUUGCGCUACGGUCAACAACCGAGUAGAAUGAAUCUUGAAAGAGUUGAGGAAUUUGGCCGUUUUCCCCCAACACUGGACCGAUUUGAGCAUCGAGGGUGUCUCGCGCGUCUGUCUAUCUGGACUGAAGAGGAACGUUCUGAUCAUGUUAUACUUUUGGCGGAGAAGAUGGCGGAAUAUUUUGUUGACAAAUUUGUUAAAUGAAAGUUCGGUGAAUUCUCAUUUGAGGGCAUCUUUCAAUACAGAAUAUCAGAUAAGA